Molecule: small RNA, 109 nt
Filed under: Marmota monax (woodchuck)
Lineage: Eukaryota; Metazoa; Chordata; Mammalia; Rodentia; Sciuridae
Source: RNAcentral
GCUGGGCAUGGUGGUUCAUGCCUGCAAUCCCAGCAGCUUGGGAGGCUGAGGCAGGAGGAUCAUGAGAGGAGGAUAGCAGCCUCAGCAACUCAAGGAGACCCUAUCUCUA